This 354-nucleotide long non-coding RNA is filed under the name Felis catus (domestic cat). RNAcentral's name for it is "lncRNA (ENSFCAG00000051770.1)". The record is from RNAcentral. Lineage: Eukaryota; Metazoa; Chordata; Mammalia; Carnivora; Felidae.
GGCGAUUUCUCCUGUGGAGACCUAAGAGGGUCUAAGAGGGCAUAGUGAUUAGAGUAGGAAUUCUGGCAGUUCAUCCUUCAGUAGCUUGAAUCGAGCUCUUUGCAACUCUAAGAAGGGUAACAGAGGAAGUUGGGCAAACCCAGUCCACAUUCCCCUAAACCCUCUUCCUUUCCUUUUUUCUACAACACAGAUCCAGGGCCUGCCUGCCUGUAUUCCCUUCCAGGCUGCCAAAUGCCAAGACCUGCUCCAGACGAAGGCUGCUUUGGCCAACCAAGACUCAUCUGCCCCCAGGGGGUCACAUGGCCAAGCCAGAGGAGACAACAAGAAGCCAAAUCAACUCUGGGCCAGGUGGAU